Molecule: long non-coding RNA, 427 nt
Organism: Rhopalosiphum padi (bird cherry-oat aphid)
Lineage: Eukaryota; Metazoa; Arthropoda; Insecta; Hemiptera; Aphididae
Exons: 3
Source: RefSeq, a predicted model, not a curated record
UAUCUUACCACAAUAAUAAUAUUAAUAUCACGCCACUAUGCCCCACCUCCAUCGCGCAUCUCGAAUGUAUGUAUAAAAAGACGGACGUCUCCUCGAUUCCGGCAUAACACAUUUUUUGUGCAAAUCUAUUCUUUGUUUUUACUCUAUUUUUCUUCACGAAAACCAACCAAAAUCCAAAAUGGGCGCUGAAAAAGUAUCAAUGAACAUCGUUGUCGUCGGACAAGUCCAAUCUGCCAAGGCCGUCAAAAUCGUCGCCAAAGCCGCCCCAGCCACCAACCAAUUGAACUGUUAAUUCGUCAUGUAGUUCACAUGAACUACUUCACAAACUCAAAAAUGCCAUAGCCCAAAUAUUACAAUAAUAUGUAAUUAUACUAACAUGUAUGUAAAUUAAUAUAUACAUUGCAAAAUAAAUCAGUCUUUUCCGCUA